Molecule: transfer RNA, 72 nt
Filed under: Morchella angusticeps
Lineage: Eukaryota; Fungi; Ascomycota; Pezizomycetes; Pezizales; Morchellaceae
Also listed under: 14 other names
Description: tRNA-Arg
Rfam family: tRNA
About the family: Transfer RNA (tRNA) molecules are approximately 80 nucleotides in length.
Source: RNAcentral
GGCUGGUUGGCGCAAUGGUAGCGCGUGGUCCUCCUAAGACCGAGGUUGAGGGUUCGAGUCCCUUGCUGGUCG